UAUUGGACAGUGGGGGAAACCCUGAUCCAGCAAUGCCGCGUGAAUGAUGAAGGCCCCCCCCCUCGUAAAGUUCUUUCACCUGUGAAGAUAAUGACGGUAGCAGGAGAAGAAGCCCCGGCUAACUCCGUGCCAGCAGCCGCGGUAAGACGGAAGGGGCUAGCGUUGUUCGGAAUGACUGGGCGUAAAGGGCGCGUAGGCGGUUUUUUAAGUGAGGCGUGAAAGCCCUGGGCUUAACCCAGGAGGUGCGUUUCAUACUGGAAAGCUUGAGUACGAGAGAGGAAAGUGGAAUUCCUAGUGUAGAGGUGAAAUUCGUAGAUAUUAGGAAGAACACCAGAGGCGAAGGCGGCUUCGGCUCGUAACUGACGCUGAGGCGCGAAA
Molecule: ribosomal RNA, 378 nt
Filed under: uncultured bacterium
Lineage: Bacteria
Description: partial 16S ribosomal RNA
Rfam family: Bacterial small subunit ribosomal RNA
Source: RNAcentral